GGCAGCAUAGCUCAUUGGUAGAGUUCUUACCUGGCAUGCAUGAGGCCCUGGGUUUGAUCCCCAGCAUUGGCG
RNAcentral lists this transfer RNA (72 nucleotides) under Ictidomys tridecemlineatus (thirteen-lined ground squirrel). RNAcentral's name for it is "Spermophilus tridecemlineatus (thirteen-lined ground squirrel) tRNA". It matches the Rfam family "tRNA". From Rfam's summary of the family: Transfer RNA (tRNA) molecules are approximately 80 nucleotides in length. Lineage: Eukaryota; Metazoa; Chordata; Mammalia; Rodentia; Sciuridae. The record is from Rfam by way of RNAcentral.